This 426-nucleotide ribosomal RNA is filed under the name uncultured Methylomonas sp. RNAcentral describes it as "bacterial SSU rRNA". It matches the Rfam family "Bacterial small subunit ribosomal RNA", at positions 355 to 774 of the family's 1533-position model. The record is from RNAcentral. Lineage: Bacteria; Pseudomonadati; Pseudomonadota; Gammaproteobacteria; Methylococcales; Methylococcaceae.
UGGGGAAUAUUGGGCAAUGGGCGCAAGCCUGACCCAGCAAUGCCGCGUGUGUGAAGAAGGCCUGAGGGUUGUAAAGCACUUUCAAUUGGGAGGAACACCUAUUGGCUAAUACCCGAUAGACUGACAUUACCUUUAGAAGAAGCACCGGCUAACUCCGUGCCAGCAGCCGCGGUAAUACGGAGGGUGCAAGCGUUAAUCGGAAUUACUGGGCGUAAAGCGUGCGUAGGCGGUUGGUUAAGUUAGAUGUGAAAGCCCCGGGCUUAACCUGGGAACUGCAUUUAAAACUGGCCAACUAGAGUUGAGUAGAGGAGAGUGGAAUUUCAGGUGUAGCGGUGAAAUGCGUAGAGAUCUGAAGGAACACCAGUGGCGAAGGCGACUCUCUGGACUCAAACUGACGCUGAGGUACGAAAGCGUGGGUAGCAAACA